UACGUAGGGUGCGAGCGUUAAUCGGAAUUACUGGGCGUAAAGCGUGCGCAGGCGGUCCGCAAAGUCUGAUGUGAAAGCCCCGGGCUCAACCUGGGAACUGCAUUGGAAACUAACGGGCUCGAGUGUGGCAGAGGGGGGUGGAAUUCCACGUGUAGCAGUGAAAUGCGUAGAUAUCUGGAGGAACACCGGUGGCGAAGGCGGCAUCCUGGACCAACACUGACACUGAGGAGCGAAAGCCAGGGGAGCAAACGGG
RNAcentral lists this ribosomal RNA (253 nucleotides) under uncultured bacterium. Its description in RNAcentral is "partial 16S ribosomal RNA". It matches the Rfam family "Bacterial small subunit ribosomal RNA", at positions 524 to 776 of the family's 1533-position model. The record is from RNAcentral.